Non-coding RNA from Nothobranchius furzeri (turquoise killifish), 5165 nucleotides. Lineage: Eukaryota; Metazoa; Chordata; Actinopteri; Cyprinodontiformes; Nothobranchiidae. The record is from RefSeq and is a predicted model, not a curated record.
GGCUGUUUUGCGACACUUUCAUGUCUGAUGGAAAGGAGGCUCUAGGCUAGGGGACAGGACACAAGAGGAAAGGGACAAAACAUGUAAGGGACUGGGAGACAUGGGACACAGGACAUAAAAUAAAACCAUGAUUGUUUUUUUCUUUUAUGAUGCUUUAAAGCAAAUUAUUAGUGAAUGAUCACAUCAUGAAAUAAAGGAAUGUGAAUUCCAAUGAUGUGCAUUAAAGACAAAAGUGUUUUAUGGUGGCAAAUGAGUGGGAGACAUUAAUGGAUUUCAAGUUCACAUAAUGAGCUCGGCCAUUGUUUCAUUUGUGAAGCAAACUGAUGAGGAUGUGUGACACUUUAGCUUGAGCUGUUGGUGAAGAAAAAAAAACCCGCCAAGCUGUUGUGAUUGAUGUGGUGUUGUGGAACAAAUGUGCUGAAAAAAUAAAAAGUAAUAAAAUGUAUCCAAAGCAAUGUCUCCCAUCUCUUUAUUCUCGCUCGUUGUGUUUGCCACGUCCUCAAAGGUUCUGCCAAACAGAAAAGUAAACUUCAAAGUGAGUUGAUCAAUUGGCACAGAAGCUCGAUGUUUUUCAGUCGGAGCUCCAUCGAGGUCCAGUCGUCUGGUUUGGCUGCACAGUUUCUGACCUCGCCGACGCCUCUGAGGUCUGGGGAUGCAACUGGAGCUCACACAAAUGAUCCUUUCACCCCAUCAGCACCUCAGACAAGCUGACUGCAUGCCAAGGAGAUCAAGCUACUCAGAGUGCAGAAGCAGGUCUACUUUAAUCAAAAAGACAGUUGCUUUAGAUAAAAUAAGCCCACUCCUGCUCUAUAACAGAGUAAGUACUGCAGCUUGACUAAUGUCUAUUGAACCAUUUUCAUUACAAACUACUUCAUCAAGACUUAAAACCUUCAGCAGGCAGUUUUUCUUCCAAUCCAAUAAAAUCCCUCCAGCACUGCUGGACUAAAACACACAAUACUGCAGUUCCAUAGAGCUGUAAAAUCUAAAAUAAACACAGAAAUACAGACGUAUUUCUUCCUAGCAUUCUUCUCUCGUCCCUUUUUAGCUCAGCUGCUGGGUGUCUUUAAAGACCCGUGGGUGUUCUGCUAGCAGCGGAUAUUUUAGCCCCAAGCAAAUCUGAGGAAAAGGCUACAGGAGUUGAGUACGACUUUGUUUCCACGCCGAGUGAUGCGGAACUGCCAAAGAUAAAAGAUGACUGGUGCGAGGGAACUGCAGCAGAAUCUUUGAUUAUGAUUCUGGUUCCAGCAGAAGCCUCAGGGAAGAUACCCGAGGGGAGGGAUAAUCUUCAAAAGCCAUCAUGCAUUCAUCUGUGUCUCCUCAACUUCAUUAUAACAAUAACUUUCAAUGAGUCAUUCACCUGCUUCAGUUUUUAUGAGGACUUCUGGUGUUACCGGAACUGGAAAACUGGAUGUCUGAGGGUGUCUGAUGCUAUCUGGCAAGGUCAUCGCUAUAAGUGUCACGUUGCGGGUGUAGGAGUUGAUGGACCAUGUGUGGUGGAGCAGAUCAGGAGGUAAAGAUGCAGGCUUCAGAUAAAGUAAAAUGGUUUUAAUGGUGGGACAGGAAGGAACAGCACAAGACAACGAUGACAAACAACCACAAUGAUCCGACAAAGACUGAUACAAGGAGGGAGGUAUAAAUACACAGGGCAAAUGAGGAACACAUGGGCAGGUAAACAAGGGGCAGGUGAAAACAAUAAGGACUAAUCAAGGGCAGGAGAGAGACACAGUCAGGGAGGCAGGGGAAGACCGUGACAAUAAGUGGGUCGCUUGGAUUAUGAUGGUUGCUAUCAAGGUCGCUCUAUAGAUCCGGUUGCUUAUGGUGCAUCUGAUGGACGCCAGAUAAAUUAAAAUACGGGGAUUUUGGAUCCUCUUCCUUGUAGCUUUAAUCCUUUUAGCAUACUGGAGGCCAUAAAAUUCAAUUUCCCAAGAGGAAACAAACAGUUGUCAUGUUUUAGGUUUACACAGAUGUUUGGUUGUGAUGAUGCACAAACUUUUAAGGAUUUUGCAUUUUAGCCCCUAUGUGGUGCCACAUGAAAAUAGCUAAAGGACAUUUAAACUACAUUGGUACAAUAGGCCAUAACACUAAAGCCUGGUGCCUGGUUUAUGCUUCUCCGUCAGCUCCGCAAGGGACAGACACGCACGGAUUGACGGAAGCGUUUUGCUCUCAUACUUCUUCGUCUCCUGGAGAGUGUUGCAAAGCAAUUGCCCGGCAGGACAACAGAGGGCGUUUUGCUGUUCUGUGGUAUCCUGUCAUGUAUCGGUCCAAGAUAGUGUGUUUAUAUUGUGUGUUUUGUAUAUAUAAGAUACUUUUAACACGGACAUAUUUGUCUCUCAUUCUCCCACCUCUUCAUGCACUCCCCACCUCUAAACCCAUGUUUCCAGUCAUUUCCGUCCACAAAUAAAAUGCUUGCUGUGCAUCAUUUCACUCCUCCAGUCACGGGAGAAUUAAACAUUCAUAUUUUUAGAGUUUUUUUCGCGAGGUAUUCUUCAAGCUUCUCCGUGUCUGCCGCUAGUUAUCCUCAGCUCUCUUUGCAAUGGCGGCACUGUAAACAACAGCGGCGUCCUUACCAAUCACAAGCUUGCAUAAUCCUUCUCGUUGGUCUCGUUUGACGGAUAUUUAAAAAAGUGGGCUCGACUCCGUACGUACUUGCGUGCCUGCCGGAGCCCUACGCAAGGAUGGAUAAUGGCGUUGCGUGUCUCCGCACUGACGCAGAUGGAGAAGCAUAAAUCAGGCUUUAGGCCAAGGUCCUGCCUCAAGUGGAGAAAUUUAAGUAUCUUGGGGUCUUGUUCAUGAGUGACGGAAAGUUGGAGCGUGAGAUCAACAGGCGGAUUGGUGCUGCAUCUGCAGUGAUGCGGGCGUUGUGGCAUCACUAACCCCAAAAUUCCACUAUCUCUGCUCCGCUCCAGCACGAACUCCGCGGUUAAAACGGUCCCGUUGUAGUCAAUCAGAGCUGUUCCACCACUGCGGCCGUGCGGCGCAGUGCGCCGCCUGCCGUUCCGUCAUCCGGCAAAAAUAGGAUUGAUUCUAUUUUUGCCGGAUGCCGGAGCACCUCCACAGUCAAUGGACAGAAAUCACAACCGCCCAACAGGAAAGGGAGCAAGUACAACUUCCGUUAUUUCACAAUAAAUUGAUAAACAAAAAGUGUUUUUUGUUUCAUAUGCACAGGUUUAACAACUUUUAACAAAUAUCAAUGGUGGUUGAACUUUAAAUGCACAAAAAUAAUCCAUAAAUACAGUUUCCACUAUCAAAGUAGUCACACUUUGUUGAUCCAAACACUGCUGAUCUCUCAACACAAAUGAUAGGCAGAUUAAACAGUUCAUUUUGAUGCUUCUCCCACACAACGGGUGUUUGGAUCUAACUUCCGCAUUUAUUGCUCGGACUGUAUCGCAAGAUCUCGAAAAUCCUGCGCAUGCCUGUUUGCGCACCUCAGGUCUCCGCACCGGAGCAGAGCCGUUGCAGAGUGGGUAUAGUAUAAUUUGAGUUCGGAAGCGAGCAGCAGCGGAAAGCGGGGGCGGAGUGGAGCGGAGAUAGUGGAAUUUUGGGGUUAGUGGCAAAUAGAUCUGAAGGUCAUCAGUAAAACAGUGAAAAGUAAUUUUAUACUUCUCAAAAAUAGAGCCUAAGGAGAGCAUAUACGAAGAAAAAAGUGCUGGACCCAAAAUGGAGCCCUGAGGCACACUGCAUAUCAGAGAUGCUUUUUUUGAGGUAAAAGGACCCAGAUUAACAAAAAAUGACCUCUUGUGAAGGUAAGAUUUAAACCACUGGAGAACAUUACCUCAGAGACCAACACAUGACUCUAGGCAGGACAACAAAAUGCCAUGAUCAACGGUGUCAAAAGCAGUCGGCAGAUCAAGUAAAACCAGAGCUGCUGACUGGCCUGAAUCAGCAAUUAAAAGAAGGUCAUAAAAAAACUUGUAAAAGAGCACUUUCAGUGCUAUGACGGGGCUUAAAACUUGACUAAAUUUUUUCUGAAAUGUUGUUAAGGGACAAGUAGUCCUGGAGCUAAGGGGAAAAACAACUUUUUCAAGGUGACAAGCUUGGUCAUCCUGGAGGGGCUCGGAGUAGAUAUACUGCUUUUCUGGGCACAUCAAACCGGGAGAAGACCCAAGAAAAGACCCAGGACUUGACGAAGGGGCUAUGUUUCUCGGUUGGCCUGAGAACACUUUGGGAUUUCCCCCGAGGAGCUGGCCCAAGUAGCUGGGGAGAGGGAAGUCUGGGCCUCCCUGUUUAGGCUGCUUCCCCCCGCGGCCCGACCCCAGAGAAGUGGAGAAAAAAGGAUGGAUGAACAUUCUAAUACUAACAUUCACAUCUCAUUAUACUGUAAUUGUAAGACUUGUUUGAAAUUACUAUACUUUUCUAGACAUCUGUAUAUAAAAUGGCUCGUCUACCAAUCAGAUCUGACAUUAAAAUAUGAUAAAAUGCUUUAAUCACAUUUAGCCUCUCAUAAUGACUCCAAAAAUAAGCAAAUAAACACUGUCCAUUACCACAAACCCAGGUGGUUUCCAAUAAAGUGUUGCUAGGACAUAUUAAUGCCACCUAACAGUGAAAUCUCAGCCCAUAAUUACAAAGCAUGGUGCCAUUUUACCAUUUAAAUCAGUGUACACGUGUCUCAAUUCUCUGAGAUUCAUUAAAACUAAACAGUAAAUUAUUUGGAUCUUAGUUCGGCUUCAAGAAUAAUAUUCUGCAUCUUUCUGUCAUCUAGUGCCACACACACACACACACACACACACACACACACACACACACACACACACACACACACGCGCGCACACACACACACACACACACACACGCGCACACACACACACACACACACACACACACACACACACAUACAUCCCAAAAACAUACAAGAAUACAUAAACCCCUGAGCUUUGCAAGCCCACUUAGUAGAGAGCAACUAAUCUAAUCAAGUCUAGCAGCUAAUGCACAGUGAAAGCAGACUCAUUCACUCAAGAUCGCAGUCAUCCACUUCCUGUGCGGGAGAGAGAGCCAAACAGGAGAAAGUUCAGCAUUUAGAGGACACACCGUGUGAUGGAGAACUAAUUGAUCAGUAGUUGUACAACAAUCGUUUUCACUGGAUCUUUUCUGUCAGUUUCGCUCUUCAGUAUCAGCAGUUUACCCCUUCGAAGGCAGCCCGAUCUGUCGCCUCUCCUCUCACUUACCUG